This 301-nucleotide ribosomal RNA is filed under the name uncultured bacterium. RNAcentral describes it as "partial 16S ribosomal RNA". It matches the Rfam family "Bacterial small subunit ribosomal RNA", at positions 509 to 808 of the family's 1533-position model. The record is from RNAcentral.
CAGUAGCCGCGGGAAUACGAAGGGUGCAAGCGUUACUCGGAAUUACUGGGCGUAAAGCGUGCGUAGGUGGUGGUUUAAGUCCGUUGUGAAAGCCCUGGGCUCAACCUGGGAAUUGCAGUGGAUACUGGGUCACUAGAGUGUGGUAGAGGAUAGUGGAAUUUCCGGUGUAGCAGUGAAAUGCGUAGAGAUCGGAAGGAACAUCUGUGGCGAAGGCGACUAUCUGGGCCAACACUGACACUGAGGCACGAAAGCGUGGGGAGCAACAGGAUUAGAUACCCCUGUAGUCCCUGUCUCUUAUACA